RNAcentral lists this ribosomal RNA (545 nucleotides) under Bifidobacterium breve. RNAcentral's name for it is "bacterial SSU rRNA". It matches the Rfam family "Bacterial small subunit ribosomal RNA", at positions 146 to 700 of the family's 1533-position model. Lineage: Bacteria; Bacillati; Actinomycetota; Actinomycetes; Bifidobacteriales; Bifidobacteriaceae. The record is from RNAcentral.
UCUCCUGGGAAACGGGUGGUAAUGCCGGAUGCUCCAUCAGACCGCAUGGUCUUCUGGGAAAGCCUUUGCGGCAUGGGAUGGGGUCGCGUCCUAUCAGCUUGAUGGCGGGGUAACGGCCCACCAUGGCUUCGACGGGUAGCCGGCCUGAGAGGGCGACCGGCCACAUUGGGACUGAGAUACGGCCCAGACUCCUACGGGAGGCAGCAGUGGGGAAUAUUGCACAAUGGGCGCAAGCCUGAUGCAGCGACGCCGCGUGAGGGAUGGAGGCCUUCGGGUUGUAAACCUCUUUUGUUAGGGAGCAAGGCAUUUUGUGUUGAGUGUACCUUUCGAAUAAGCACCGGCUAACUACGUGCCAGCAGCCGCGGUAAUACGUAGGGUGCAAGCGUUAUCCGGAAUUAUUGGGCGUAAAGGGCUCGUAGGCGGUUCGUCGCGUCCGGUGUGAAAGUCCAUCGCUUAACGGUGGAUCCGCGCCGGGUACGGGCGGGCUUGAGUGCGGUAGGGGAGACUGGAAUUCCCGGUGUAACGGUGGAAUGUGUAGAUAUCGG